UGGGGAAUUUUGGACAAUGGGCGAAAGCCUGAUCUAGCAAUGCCGCGUGUGUGAAGAAGGCCUUCGGGUUGUAAAGCACUUUUGUCCGGAAAGAAAUCCUUGGCUCUAAUACAGUCGGGGGAUGACGGUACCGGAAGAAUAAGCACCGGCUAACUACGUGCCAGCAGCCGCGGUAAUACGUAGGGUGCAAGCGUUAAUCGGAAUUACUGGGCGUAAAGCGUGCGCAGGCGGUUUGCUAAGACCGAUGUGAAAUCCCCGGGCUCAACCUGGGAACUGCAUUGGUGACUGGCAGGCUAGAGUAUGGCAGAGGGGGGUAGAAUUCCACGUGUAGCAGUGAAAUGCGUAGAGAUGUGGAGGAAUACCGAUGGCGAAGGCAGCCCCCUGGGCCAAUACUGACGCUCAUGCACGAAAGCGUGGGGAGCAAACAGGAUUAGAUACCCUGGUAGUCCACGCCCUAAACGAUGUCAACUAGUUGUUGGGGAUUCAUUUCCUUAGUAACGUAGCUAACGCGUGAAGUUGACCGCCUGGGGAGUACGGUCGCAAGAUUAAAACUUCAAAUGGAAUUGACGGGGUCAUAGCUGUUUCCU
RNAcentral lists this ribosomal RNA (587 nucleotides) under uncultured bacterium. Its description in RNAcentral is "partial 16S ribosomal RNA". It matches the Rfam family "Bacterial small subunit ribosomal RNA", at positions 355 to 1375 of the family's 1533-position model. The record is from RNAcentral.